GAUGAACGCUGGCGGCGUGCCUAAUACAUGCAAGUCGAGCGAACAGACGAGGAGCUUGCUCCUCUGACGUUAGCGGCGGACGGGUGAGUAACACGUGGAUAACCUACCUAUAAGACUGGGAUAACUUCGGGAAACCAGAGCUAAUACCGGAUAAUAUAUUGAACCGCAUGGUUCAAUAGUGAAAGACGGUUUUGCUGUCACUUAUAGAUGGAUCCGCGCCGCAUUAGCUAGUUGGUAAGGUAACGGCUUACCAAGGCAACGAUUCGUAGCCGACCUGAGAGGGUGAUCCGCCACACUGGAACUGAGACACGGUCCAGACUCCUAAGGGAGGCAGCAGUAGGGAAUCUUCCGCAAUGGGCGAAAGCCUUGCGGAGCAACCCCGCGUGAGGGAUGAAGGUCUUCGGAUCGUAAAACUCUUUUAUUAGGGAAGAACAAAUGUGUAAGUAACUAUGCACGUCUUGACGGUACCUAAUCAGAAAGCCACGGCUAACUACGUG
Molecule: ribosomal RNA, 497 nt
Filed under: uncultured bacterium
Lineage: Bacteria
Description: partial 16S ribosomal RNA
Rfam family: Bacterial small subunit ribosomal RNA
Source: RNAcentral